GGGCGUAAAGAGCUCGUAGGUGGUUUGUCGCGUUGUUCGUGAAAUCUCACGGCUUAACUGUGAGCGUGCGGGCGAUACGGGCAGACUUGAGUACUGCAGGGGAGACUGGAAUUCCUGGUGUAGCGGUGGAAUGCGCAGAUAUCAGGAGGAACACCGGUGGCGAAGGCGGGUCUCUGGGCAGUAACUGACGCUGAGGAGCGAAAGCGUGGGGAGCGAACAGGAUUAGAUACCCUGGUAGUCCACGCCGUAAACGGUGGGUACUAGGUGUGGGUUUCCUUCCUUGGGAUCCGUGCCGUAGCUAACGCAUUAAGUACCCCGCCUGGGGAGUACGGCCGCGAGGCUCAAACUCAGAGAAAUUGACGGGGGCCCGCGCAAGCGGCGGAGCAUGUGGAUCAAUUCGAUGCAACGCGAAGAACCGUACCUGGGUUUGACAUGCACAGGACGCCGGCAGAGAUGUCGGUUCCCUUGUGGCCUGUGUGCAGGUGGUGCAUGGCUGUCGUCAGCUCGUGUCGUGAGAUGUUGGGUUAAGUCCCGCAACGAGCGCAACCCUUGUCUCAUGUUGCCAGCGGGUAAUGCCGGGGACUCGUGAGAGACUGCCGGGGUCAACUCGGAGGAAGGUGGGGAUGACGUCAAGUCAUCAUGCCCCUUAUGUCCAGGGCUUCACACAUGCUACAAUGGCCGGUACAAAGGGCUGCGAUGCCGCGAGGUUAAGCGAAUCCUUUUAAAGCCGGUCUCAGUUCGGAUCGGGGUCUGCAACUCGACCCCGUGAAGUCGGAGUCGCUAGUAAUCGCAGAUCGGCAACGCUGCG
This 808-nucleotide ribosomal RNA is filed under the name uncultured Mycobacterium sp. RNAcentral describes it as "bacterial SSU rRNA". It matches the Rfam family "Bacterial small subunit ribosomal RNA", at positions 556 to 1361 of the family's 1533-position model. Lineage: Bacteria; Bacillati; Actinomycetota; Actinomycetes; Mycobacteriales; Mycobacteriaceae. The record is from RNAcentral.